GGAAGCUGUAGACCACCGGUAGGUUGCCAGCCUCACCAGCCUCACCAGCCUCAUAAGCUGGAGAUACGGGGUUCGACUCCCUGCGCUGCUACCA
Molecule: transfer RNA, 94 nt
Filed under: Pseudomonas aeruginosa
Lineage: Bacteria; Pseudomonadati; Pseudomonadota; Gammaproteobacteria; Pseudomonadales; Pseudomonadaceae
Description: tRNA-OTHER
Source: RNAcentral